RNAcentral lists this small RNA (718 nucleotides) under Pan troglodytes (chimpanzee). RNAcentral's name for it is "sense intronic". Lineage: Eukaryota; Metazoa; Chordata; Mammalia; Primates; Hominidae. The record is from RNAcentral.
AACCCAAAGGGCUAAGUCUUCUUUCUUAAUUUUUAAAACAAGCAUGUGUUUUGUUCUUUACAUGAAUCGUCUGGUUCUCCCAGUGUGAUCACGACACUGUCCCAUGCUGAUUCCAUGCACGGUGCAACUCUUUCCCAAGAGAGAUUCUAACUCAGGACACCUGGGAGAGGACCCGAGCUGCAUUUCUCACAGCUACCAGAUGCUGCACGCUGGCAAGGUUUUGGGAUGCACUGAAUCCAGUUCAGCAUGUUUACUGAGCAUAUACCACAUAGAGAGCCCAGAUGAUACAAAAAUGAGAAGAUGGGUUGUACCUGCCCUUGAGGAGCUAACAAGCUUGUAAACUGAGGCCCAGAAAGGUUCAGCCAUCUGCCUGAGGUCACACAGCCACAGUUUGGACCUGAGCCAUCAAUCAUCCACCAAAAGCCUGCAUUGACCCUAGAAGAUUCCGUUGCAUGUUGUCAAGGCGCUUAGUUUCUCUCUUGUGUCUCCCAAAAACAUAAACCUGGAAUGGAAGAGAGCCACUUACUCUAUAGAUGCUUUUAGCUCAGAACGCUUCAAGCUUUUGGAGUAUGAGAAAUAAUAACAAUCAUUCCAUUCUUUCCUGGAGUUUGAUCUCAGCUGUUGGUGAUAUUGUUGGGACUGAUUUGCUAUCUAUAAAGCCAAAUUUGAGAAAAGACAGGUUAAAAAUAAACAGGGAGGAUGAUGUUAGUAAAAAUAA